This 127-nucleotide ribosomal RNA is filed under the name uncultured bacterium. RNAcentral describes it as "partial 16S ribosomal RNA". The record is from RNAcentral.
AGCAGUGGGGAAUUUUGGGCAAGGGAGGAAAGGGUAAUCCAGCCAAAUGGCGAAAUGAAGAAGGCCUUCGGGUUGUAAAGCUAUUCAGCCGGAAAGAAAUAGAGCAGGCCAAUACUGGCGAGAUGAC